GCCCAGAUCAAUCGCGCGAUCGGACGGCCCAGAUACAAUCGCACGGACGGCCCAGAUUCAAUCAAAAACGAACGGCCCAGAUUAAAACAAAAUGGACAGCUGAGAUCAAAAGGCAAGGGGUUAUAAAUAGAACCCCCACACCAGACCACAAACCCUAGCCGCCUGCCGCUCGCCGGAGAAGACGAACCAGAGGCCGACCGCCGCC
RNAcentral lists this long non-coding RNA (205 nucleotides) under Carica papaya (papaya). Its description in RNAcentral is "long non-coding RNA (CPAP_LNC011026)". The record is from RNAcentral. Lineage: Eukaryota; Viridiplantae; Streptophyta; Magnoliopsida; Brassicales; Caricaceae.